Molecule: ribosomal RNA, 495 nt
Filed under: Pseudomonas aeruginosa
Lineage: Bacteria; Pseudomonadati; Pseudomonadota; Gammaproteobacteria; Pseudomonadales; Pseudomonadaceae
Description: bacterial SSU rRNA
Rfam family: Bacterial small subunit ribosomal RNA
Source: RNAcentral
GAAGGUGGCGCAGGCUACACAUGCAGUCGAGCGGAUGAAGGGAGCUUGCUCCUGGAUUCAGCGGCGGACGGGUGAGUAAUGCCUAGGAAUCUGCCUGGUAGUGGGGGAUAACGUCCGGAAACGGGCGCUAAUACCGCAUACGUCCUGAGGGAGAAAGUGGGGGAUCUUCGGACCUCACGCUAUCAGAUGAGCCUAGGUCGGAUUAGCUAGUUGGUGGGGUAAAGGCCUACCAAGGCGACGAUCCGUAACUGGUCUGAGAGGAUGAUCAGUCACACUGGAACUGAGACACGGUCCAGACUCCUACGGGAGGCAGCAGUGGGGAAUAUUGGACAAUGCGCGAAAGCCUGAUCCUCCCCUGCCGCGUGUGUGAAGAAGGUCUUCGGAUUGUAAAGCACUUUAAGUUGGGAGGAAGGGCAGUCAGUUAAUACCUUGCUGUUUUGACGUUACCCACAGAAUAAGCACCGGCUAACUUCGUGCCAGCAGCCUCUGGUAAAA